GACGUAGGGUGCGAGCGUUGUCCGGAUUUAUUGGGCGUAAAGAGCUCGUAGGCGGUUUGUCGCGUCGGCCGUGAAAUCUCCACGCUUAACGUGGAGCGUGCGGUCGAUACGGGCAGACUUGAGUUCGGUAGGGGAGACUGGAAUUCCUGGUGUAGCGGUGAAAUGCGCAGAUAUCAGGAGGAACACCGGUGGCGAAGGCGGGUCUCUGGGCCGAUACUGACGCUGAGGAGCGAAAGCGUGGGGAGCGAACAGG
RNAcentral lists this ribosomal RNA (253 nucleotides) under uncultured bacterium. RNAcentral describes it as "partial 16S ribosomal RNA". It matches the Rfam family "Bacterial small subunit ribosomal RNA", at positions 524 to 776 of the family's 1533-position model. The record is from RNAcentral.